Neodiprion fabricii is the source of this 476-nucleotide long non-coding RNA. RefSeq lists it as uncharacterized. NCBI's taxonomy places the organism in Eukaryota, Metazoa, Arthropoda, Insecta, Hymenoptera, Diprionidae. The transcript is spliced from 4 exons. The record is from RefSeq and is a predicted model, not a curated record.
AGGCAGCCAGUUAAGAGGCUUCACAGUGUUCAGUUUAGUGCCAGCUCUCGAGGUAUCAAGAUGACGAAUCCUGUUGACAACUUGGCGACUGAGAUAGAGGCGUUAACCCGGAUCGUCAACCAGGACGAAAUGAUGGAUGAAAGUACAACGCGUCAACUUGGUGUUGCCUCGGACAGCGCGGAGAUCCCAAAAACUCCGAAUCCUACCCCGAACGAGAAUUAGAAGAGAAAAAAAAAUUGUCGAUGGUGGGAUAAAAAAAAGUCCAAGAAACAAAAAGAAAAAAAGUCCGCACCUGCGUCGGAUACUGCGCAGCUCCACAAAGUGGCCAGAUCCACCCCGAACCAGCGGGACAAGCGAGUCUCUCGGAAUCCGCGGUUCCGAAAGACUCGCACUGACGGUCCGCCGAAGCAGACGUCUUCGGACCCGCGGACGACGGAGGAACGCGCAUUAACGGUAGUCGUGAACACCAUACUCAA